GGUUUGUGGCUUAGUGGUAGAGCACUUGCCUGGCAUGUAUGAAGCACUGGGUUCAAUCCUCAGCACCA
This 68-nucleotide transfer RNA is filed under the name Marmota monax (woodchuck). RNAcentral describes it as "tRNA.Ala". The stretch from base 5 to 65 matches the Rfam family "tRNA", at positions 6 to 65 of the family's 71-position model. Rfam says of the family: Transfer RNA (tRNA) molecules are approximately 80 nucleotides in length. Their secondary structure includes four short double-helical elements and three loops (D, anti-codon, and T loops). Further hydrogen bonds mediate the characteristic L-shaped molecular structure. tRNAs have two regions of fundamental functional importance: the anti-codon, which is responsible for specific mRNA codon recognition, and the 3' end, to which the tRNAs corresponding amino acid is attached (by aminoacyl-tRNA synthetases). tRNAs cope with the degeneracy of the genetic code in two manners: having more than one tRNA (with a specific anti-codon) for a particular amino acid; and 'wobble' base-pairing, i.e. permitting non-standard base-pairing at the 3rd anti-codon position. The record is from RNAcentral. Lineage: Eukaryota; Metazoa; Chordata; Mammalia; Rodentia; Sciuridae.